GGGGGCGAAACGGGUUCGACGGGAGUAGAGAAGCUUAAGUUGCAUGCCGAGGUCCUUGCUGCUCGUUAAACAGCUGGGAAAAAAAUAAACGCAGACGAUUACGCGUACGCUGUAGCCGCUUAACCGCGGCUACCGUCUUCAGGCCUUGCGCCCGCGGGGGCCAUGAAGGCGUCGACUAAGCGGGAAGGCUGCCGUCAUGAUGCCCGCAGUGACGGUGGUGAGAUUUAGCGGGCUGGCGUCGGCGAAAUCCUUGUCCGCAGUGAGGUCGCCGAAGCGAGAACCAAAGAGCGGAAUAAGCAUGUAGAAGCUUUGGCGGAAUGCUUUCGGACGCGGGUUCAACUCCCGCCGCCUCCACCA
This 357-nucleotide small RNA is filed under the name Syntrophobacteraceae bacterium. RNAcentral describes it as "transfer-messenger RNA". It matches the Rfam family "transfer-messenger RNA". From Rfam's summary of the family: Bacterial tmRNA, also known as 10Sa RNA or SsrA, is named for its dual tRNA and mRNA-like properties. Its role is to liberate the mRNA from a stalled ribosome. Lineage: Bacteria; Pseudomonadati; Thermodesulfobacteriota; Syntrophobacteria; Syntrophobacterales; Syntrophobacteraceae. The record is from RNAcentral.